UAACACGAACCGUGCGAACGUUAUUCGGAAUCACUGGGCUUAAAGGGUACGUAGGCGGUCUUGCAAGUGGGGUGUGAAAUCCCCCGGCUCAACCGGGGAACUGCGCUCCAAACUGCAAGACUUGAGGGAGAUAGAGGUGAGCGGAACUGAUGGUGGAGCGGUGAAAUGCGUUGAGAUCAUCAGGAACACCAGAGGCGAAGGCGGCUCACUGGAUCUCUUCUGACGCUGAGGUACGAAAGCUAGGGUAGCGAACGGGAUUAGAUACCCCGGUAGUCCUAGCUGUAAACGAUGAGCACUGGGUCGAGGAGCCUUCCACAGUUUCUCGGCCGUAGCGAAAGUGUUAAGUGCCCCGCCUGGGGAGUAUGGUCGCAAGGCUG
This 377-nucleotide ribosomal RNA is filed under the name uncultured Planctomycetota bacterium. Its description in RNAcentral is "bacterial SSU rRNA". It matches the Rfam family "Bacterial small subunit ribosomal RNA", at positions 521 to 896 of the family's 1533-position model. Lineage: Bacteria; Pseudomonadati; Planctomycetota. The record is from RNAcentral.